AUAUAUAACACAUAUCAGAAGCCUAGAAACAAAGAAAAAAGAGAAAACGAUCUGUAAAAGAGUACUAGGAGAGUCAAUAAAAGAAUAGAAGCUGCGCAACAGUCCCUUUUUUCCCCAAAAAAAUUAUAGUAGAUGUCACCAUUUUUAUAGCCAUGCAAAGCUCCCAUUUCUUCACCAAAAACCCAGCUGCAAAAAUCACCUAAAACCAUCACUGUCCAGCCCUCAAACCCGGCAAAUAAUAGCCCAAAAACCAGCUCAAAUCCCUCACCAAAACACAGCAAAGAAGUUUGAAAAAUCAAUUUCUAACAUCACUAAAAGAGGUACAACUUAAGCUCCAUUUUCAACCCAUUAACGCCAAGUUUUAACCACUAAAAACGAGCAGAAAUAACCCUGAAAUCCAGCUCGAAAACAACCCCCAAAAUACCCCAAAACGUCAACCAAACCAGCCCCAAAAACCUUUCGCAAGACAACUCCAAAGAGCAGAAAAACCAGCUACGAAAAUUGCUGAAAACCAGUCCGAAAACCCCCAAAAAAUCCCUCAAAAACAGCUCUAUUUCCCAGCGAAAAUCAGAGACAAAACCGGCUACAAAACAGCCCCAAACAUUGGUUAAAAUCUCCAGCAAAAAUAGUCAUGUAAAGCACCAUGUUCUUCACCCAAAACCAGAUCUAAAACACCUCUAGAUCACCAAAAUAUGCAGCUAAAAACCAGCCCUGAAACCAGCUAAAAAAUAGUCAUGAAAUCACUCUAAACCUCCAUUUUUCCUCCGUUAAACCGCCACGAAAGUUGUCGUCCUUCAUCCAAAACCAGUAACUCGUUCCUACUCCGUCAAUCAUUGUAAAAGAGCCGAGUUAGAGUCAGGUUAGUCGAGAUUCAUUGAGGUUUCCCGGCAAGGUUCGUUGUUUCAUGUCGAGCUCUCCAUUUUGUCAUUUGAUUUCCUGAACUUUGGUUUGGAGUUUUCUUCAAAUAUAAGGUCCCUUUACCUUCUUAAUAUACUUCUUAGUUCCAUGGUAUUUUCUGCAAUUUUAUUUGCCUUUAUGAAAGUUAGAUGAUACUCUGGUUAAUACGUGAUUACUUGCCUAAAUCAUGAAUCCGCUUGAGAAUAUCUAUAUGGUUGAUGUAUAUUUUAGCUUUAUGAAUUUGGAAUCCAUGUGUAACCAACUGAAAUGUGUUAAGGAGAAAAUGAAUAACGUUUGCUAAGAGAGAUUGGAAAGUAAGGUUUGGAACCACGGAAAAGGAUUUGGGACUUUGGAUUGAUGAUUGGAAGGGGGUCUUCGCAUUUGCUAUCAUUUUGUCGCAUUUGCGAUCAUUUUGUCGCAUUUGCGACUUCUGUGGCUCUAAGGCAGGGUUCACAAUUGUAAUUCUUGUCUUGCAUUUGUGGCAUUCGCAAUUGUGAACAUGACUUCGCAAUUGCGACACCUGCCGCUGGGUAAAAGAGGGGCAAAAUAGGACUUAGCUCAUUUCACACCAUUUCUCAACCCCUAAACACCCUAGAGGCAAUUUUUCAAGAGGCUUUUCUUCCCAAAUUCAUUGUUAAGUGACUUUAUUCAUUUUCUUUCAAUUACCCAUUACAUUUUAUGAGAUUUCAACAUCAAAUUUAGGAUUUUCAUAGUAGAAAUUAGAAAUUUGGGUAAAUUUUAGGAUUUUUGUAAAAUUGAAAUUUAGACCUCGCAUUGAGGUCGAAUUUCGAAACAAAUCACAUAACCAGGAUCGGGGGUAAAUGAGUGAUUGGGUUUGGGUCCGAAUCUCGGGUUUUGACCAAGCAAGCCCGGAGUUGACUUUUAGUGAUUUUUUAAAAAAUAAUCAAAAUUGAACUUCUUUUAUUUGUGGGUAGUUUCUAAAGCUUAUUUGAAUAAUUUGGUCCAUAAUUUGCUAUAUUUGGUUGGUUUAGAGACUUGUUCAAAAGGCAAGGUUGUGGUUGAUUGAUUACUGAGUUGCAGAGUGAGAUAAGUAUUGGGUUUAACCUUGAUUUCAGAGAAAUAGGAACCCUUGAACUACAUGUUAUGUGAAUUACAUGGAAAACGACGUAUAUGUAUGGUGAUGAAUAUAUAUACGCCAUUAUUAUACUUUCUUCCAUGUUUUCGUUACUUCAUGAUAUAUCUUGUUUCAUACCUUAAUUGCUACUUGCUUUAUUGAUUUCUAUGUCAUAAUUGUUACAUGUCAUUUAGCUAUUCUUGUAUUAAACUGUCUAUUCCUUCCAUGAUUCCAUGCUUAUUUGCUAAUUGUUUUACUUGCAUAUUUAAUUGUCAUGUCUUACUUGCCUUAUAGUUUUGUUGUUUUUGAUGUCUUUUAUAUAUGGUUUCACUUGUAUGAGUUGUCUAACUGAUAGAUACCGAUGAGUUGGUAAGGUCAAGUCAUUCGAGUUGUUAAAGAUUCUUUGAUUAUUAUGUGAUUCUUCAUUGCUUCGUACAUUUACUCUCUUGAUGUAUAAAUUCAUAUAAAUUUUAGUUAUUGAAUUACUAUUAUUGAUUAAGAUUGCUUGGGGAGCUGGUUACACGCCGCAACGGAAAUUGAAAGGAAAUGAAUUGACAUGGAACAAUAAGGACGAAUUUUGAUAAUGAUAAAUGAUGACAUGGUGGGAUAGGGUUGCGCCACAAUGGAUUGUAUAUGUGGUAUUUGGUAUUGAUAAAUGAUGAUAUGGUGGGAUCGGGUUGCAUGCCGUAACGGUUUGUAUAUGUUGUACUUGUUGUUAUUGUUGAGUUGGUCUCGCCAUUUUUAUAUGAGAUGUGUUAUUCUAGGCUUUCUAAUAAUGAGGUUGAGUUCAAUUUCAUGAGUUAAUUGCUUUACUUCCACUUCCUGCUUCUUUUCUUGUAUAUUUAUUAUUACUGUGUACGGGUUAUUGUAAGUGACCCGCUUAGCCUCGUCACUACUUCGUCAAGGUUAGGCUCGGUUCAUAUAGAGUACAUGGAGUCAGUUGUACUCAUAAUAUACUCUGCGCUUCUUGUGCAGAUAUCGGAGAUGGUCCUAGCGGCGCUCAAUAGCUUUUGGCUCGGAUUUAGUCGCUGAUGGAGACUUGAGGUAUAGCUGCACAGCGUCCGCAACCCUGAAGUCCCCUUCCCUACUAUCUUUACUAUUUUAUUGAGUUUCAAAAUAAUGUAUUUUAUUCGGAUCUUAUAUAUAGCACUCUAGAUGUUCAUGACUCGUGACUCCAGGUUCUAGGUUACGUUUAGACUUUGUUGAUCGGCAUUAUUUUACUUUAUUUCAGAC
RNAcentral lists this long non-coding RNA (3205 nucleotides) under Nicotiana tabacum (common tobacco). Its description in RNAcentral is "long non-coding RNA (NTAB_LNC007851)". Lineage: Eukaryota; Viridiplantae; Streptophyta; Magnoliopsida; Solanales; Solanaceae. The record is from RNAcentral.